CGGACUUAAAAUCCGUCGACUUUAUAAGUCGUGAGGGUUCAAGUCCCUCUAUCCCCA
Molecule: transfer RNA, 57 nt
Filed under: Poa billardierei
Lineage: Eukaryota; Viridiplantae; Streptophyta; Magnoliopsida; Poales; Poaceae
Also listed under: 3 other names
Description: partial tRNA-Leu
Rfam family: tRNA
About the family: Transfer RNA (tRNA) molecules are approximately 80 nucleotides in length. Their secondary structure includes four short double-helical elements and three loops (D, anti-codon, and T loops). Further hydrogen bonds mediate the characteristic L-shaped molecular structure. tRNAs have two regions of fundamental functional importance: the anti-codon, which is responsible for specific mRNA codon recognition, and the 3' end, to which the tRNAs corresponding amino acid is attached (by aminoacyl-tRNA synthetases). tRNAs cope with the degeneracy of the genetic code in two manners: having more than one tRNA (with a specific anti-codon) for a particular amino acid; and 'wobble' base-pairing, i.e. permitting non-standard base-pairing at the 3rd anti-codon position.
Source: RNAcentral